RNAcentral lists this ribosomal RNA (467 nucleotides) under uncultured bacterium. Its description in RNAcentral is "partial 16S ribosomal RNA". It matches the Rfam family "Bacterial small subunit ribosomal RNA", at positions 29 to 507 of the family's 1533-position model. The record is from RNAcentral.
ACGAACGCUGGCGGCGUGCUUCACACAUGCAAGUCGAACGGAAAGGCCCUGCUUUUGUGGGGUGCUCGAGUGGCGAACGGGUGAGUAACACGUGAGUAACCUGCCCUUGACUUUGGGAUAACUUCAGGAAACUGGGGCUAAUACCGGAUAGGAGCUCCUGCUGCAUGGUGGGGGUUGGAAAGUUUCGGCGGUUGGGGAUGGACUCGCGGCUUAUCAGCUUGUUGGUGGGGUAGUGGCUUACCAAGGCUUUGACGGGUAGCCGGCCUGAGAGGGUGACCGGCCACAUUGGGACUGAGAUACGGCCCAGACUCCUACGGGAGGCAGCAGUGGGGAAUAUUGCACAAUGGGCGGAAGCCUGAUGCAGCAACGCCGCGUGCGGGAUGACGGCCUUCGGGUUGUAACCCGCUUUCGCCUGUGACGAAGCGUGAGUGACGGUAAUGGGUAAAGAAGCACCGGCUAACUACGUG